AUUGAACGCUGGCGGCAGGCCUAACACAUGCAGGUCGAGCGGAUGAAGGGAGCUUGCUCCUGGAUUCAGCGGCGGACGGGUGAGUAAUGCCUAGGAAUCUGCCUGGUAGUGGGGGAUAACGUCCGGAAACGGGCGCUAAUACCGCAUACGUCCCGAGGGAGAAAGUGGGGGAUCUUCGGACCUCACGCUAUCAGAUGAGCCUAGGUCGGAUUAGCUAGUUGGUGGGGUAAAGGCCUACCAAGGCGACGAUCCGUAACUGGUCUGAGAGGAUGAUCAGUCACACUGGAACUGAGACACGGUCCAGACUCCUACGGGAGGCAGCAGUGGGGAAUAUUGGACAAUGGGCGAAAGCCUGAUCCAGCCAUGCCGCGUGUGUGAAGAAGGUCUUCGGAUUGUAAAGCACUUUAAGUUGGGAGGAAGGGCAGUAAGUUAAUACCUUGCUGUUUUGACGUUACCAACAGAAUAAGCACCGGCUAACUUCGUG
Molecule: ribosomal RNA, 484 nt
Filed under: uncultured bacterium
Lineage: Bacteria
Description: partial 16S ribosomal RNA
Rfam family: Bacterial small subunit ribosomal RNA
Source: RNAcentral